AUCUUUCGGUUCUGGAUGCUUAUUGGAUGAAGUGAUUGCUCUGUCCAAUCAGAAGCGAGAAGGUGUGUGCUUCGCAAGCCUCAGGUCUCACAUACAGGCAGAACAGAGACGAGUGAAUUAGUCGGAAGCGAUCAACGGUGACCAGCUUUGCUUCAAACUAAAAGAAGUUGAUGCUGAAUCUACUUGCUUUGUUUGUGGAAACACGGCACAUUGGACCAGAGGAAUCCAGUCUCUUUGGACCCUGUUGGUGAACUUUGAAGUACUUCAAAGAGAUUCUGGCUGCUAUCCAGAAGAGGGGUUGUCCUCCCGCGCCGACUCCAGUUCUUGCCUCGUGCGCCCAGCUCUGCUGACCUGCUAACCACACGAGGGGCCUCUGUAACAUCUACUGCUCUCCAUCCACUAAGUUGAAGGAUUCGUGAGUACCUGCACGUGCUUUAUUUGAUUUGCUUGCUCUGCAAGUGAAAGGGCCAUUUUUUUUUUAGGCCACAACGAUCACAAGCAACGAUUCAGGCCUGCAACAAAAUUAAUGCGAUCAGGAAAAAAAAAAUAGAAUUUGGAUAUACCAAUGUAAUUAAAUUGUGAAAUUUAGCUGAAUCAUAUUUUAUUACUUAUGCUAAAGUUUUAUUUAUCUUAAUCAACACUGUACUAUUUUAUUUUGCAAAAAUUCAGUUGUCCACAAAACGAAUUACUCUUAGUAGGAAUUUUCAAUUAAAUUAACCCUUUUGUUUUCCUGCUAAGUGGAGACACCGCCAACAUUAUUAACCUAAAAUAAGUCUAAAAUCAUUAAUAAUUUGGAACUUCAACAGUAACUUGUAUCCCCAUAUUAAAGUUUAAAUAGAAAUACCCAGGACCCCACCCAUAGUAUUGUCACCAAUAAAUGAAGAAUAAUAAAUAACUACAUGCGAUGGGUGUUACACACAGCUAGGUUUUUUUUUUUUUUUUUUUAAAACAAACAUUUGUGAAAGAAUGUUCCGUUUUCAGUUAAUUCUGGCGUGGAACUGUCAUAUGAUGUCACCUGUGCAACAAAUCCAGUCGUAAAGUCCUGAAUGCUUCAAGAUACCAACACAUUUCGGACAAUUCCCUGUUCUUGAGGGAACAGUUUGGAGUGGCCUCUUCCCUUUCCAACAUGAGAUCAAAGCAAGGCUCAUAAAGACAUGGAGGACAGAGUCUUCUGGUGUGGAUGAACUAGACUGACCUGAACCCCAUAGAUCACCUUUGGGAUGAAUUAGAGUUGAGACUGAGAGCCAGAUCUUCUCCACCAACCUGACCAAAGCGUUUUUGGAAAAAUGGUCCAGAACAAACACACUCCUUGUGGUUUCCAGAAGAGUUGAAGUUGGAAUGGCUGCAAAAGGUGGCCCCACAUCAAACUGAACUCUAUUGGUUAAGAAUGGGUUGAUACUCCAGUUUAUGAGUCAAGGCAGGUGAGUGAAUACUUUUGGUAAUUUUUUUUUUUUAUUAUAAAAAAGUCAUAUAAUACAGUAAAGAUAUGCGCAUGUGUUUUUAAAUUAUUUUAAAACAUGGCAGUUCAGGAGAGUUUUAUAAAGCUGUUGUGGUACGAGCAUGAUGUGGUUGCUUUUGAAGAUAACGCAUCGACUAUAGUCUUUUCAAGUGUUUGUGGUUCAAAAUAAGAUCUAUUUUUUAACUUGCUCCACUACAGUUUGGCUGGAAACUCCCAUCAAAUGAAGCAACAAUGCACUAUUUCCUAAUUCUAUCCAUCUCCGUCUUUUCUAAAGAAAACCUCAACAUCUUCAUUUCCCGUCUAUUUCUCGAUCUCUAAACCAGAUGUGGGCAAACUACGUCCAGCUCGUUAAACUAUUUCAUCAAAACUAGAAUCCUAAUUAUUGCUUUAUUUUCUCUGUAUUUCAAAUGUCUCCCCAUAGAUGGUCCAAUAUAGAAACACUGACCACCGUCUAGAAAGUUUUUUUUUCUUAAAGAUUUGUGGUUACUAUUAAGUCAGGCAUUUUUCCAAUCAUUCUAACAGCACAUGAACGCACCAUUUCUAUAAGUUUGUGUUUUUUUUCUAAAGGACAUCAUCCCAUUGGUGCAGUUGGCACCAAAAUGUGACAAAAGUCACAGUUUUGAAAUAAAGUGUUAAAAUAAUUUAUA
Long non-coding RNA from Oryzias melastigma (Indian medaka), 2106 nucleotides. RefSeq lists it as uncharacterized. The record is from RefSeq and is a predicted model, not a curated record. The transcript has 2 exons. NCBI's taxonomy places the organism in Eukaryota, Metazoa, Chordata, Actinopteri, Beloniformes, Adrianichthyidae.